This 774-nucleotide ribosomal RNA is filed under the name uncultured Neocallimastigales. RNAcentral's name for it is "partial large subunit ribosomal RNA". It matches the Rfam family "Eukaryotic large subunit ribosomal RNA", at positions 24 to 634 of the family's 3401-position model. Lineage: Eukaryota; Fungi; Neocallimastigomycota; Neocallimastigomycetes; Neocallimastigales. The record is from RNAcentral.
GUAGUCUCGCACAGAUGCAUAUCAAUAAGCGGAGGAAAAGAAACUAACAAGGAUUCCCUUAGUAACGGCGAGUGAAGCGGGAAGAGCUCAAAUUUGAAAUCUUCAAGGUUUUACCUUGACGAAUUGUAGUUUAAAGAAGUGUUUUCUGUUGAAGUUUUGGUAAAAGUUCUUUGGAAUAGGACAUCAUAGAGGGUGAGAAUCCCGUAUUUGACCAUUAUUUUCAGCUGUGUGAUACACUUUCAAAGAGUCGGAUUGUUUGGGAAUGCAGUCCAAAAUGGGUGGUAAAUUUCAUCUAAAGCUAAAUAUUGGCGAGAGACCGAUAGCGAACAAGUACCGUGAGGGAAAGAUGAAAAGAACUUUGAAAAGAGAGUUAAACAGUACGUGAAAUUGUCAAAAGGGAAGCGUUUGACACCAGUGUUGUUUUCUCGAAAAUCAAUUAAAAAGAGUUAGAUUUUGUUGUGUAUUGACCUUAACAGCUUGCAUUUCAAUUUUCUUGCUUUUUUUAAUGCACUUUUCGUUUAACAAGUCAACAUCAGUUUCUUUUGUUGUAAAAAGGUCAUUGGAAGGUGGCUUCCUUUUCGGAGAAAGUGUUUAUAGCCUUUGACUCCUGCAAUCGGAGAGACUGAGGUCUGCAGCGUAGAUCCUUCGGGGUUAGAUACAUUUGUGCUAAGUUAUAGCUUUUUAUAGACAACUUGUUGACUAUGAUUAGUCUUGUAGCUUACUCGCUUAUGCUAUUUUACCUACGCUUAGGAUGUUGAAGAUGUAGCACAUCAU